CCAGACUCCUACGGGAGGCAGCAGUGAGGAAUAUUGGUCAAUGGGCGGGAGCCUGAACCAGCCAAGCCGCGUGAGGGAAGAAGGUACAGCGUAUCGUAAACCUCUUUUGUCAGGGAACAAAGGCGGGGACUAGUCCCCGGAUGAGGGUACCUGAAGAAAAAGCAUCGGCUAACUCCGUGCCAGCAGCCGCGGUAAUACGGAGGAUGCGAGCGUUAUCCGGAUUUAUUGGGUUUAAAGGGUGCGUAGGCGGAUUUUUAAGUCAGCGGUAAAAUGUCCGGGCUCAACCCGGGCCGGCCGUUGAAACUGGGGAUCUUGAGUGGGCGAGAAGUAUGCGGAAUGCGUGGUGUAGCGGUGAAAUGCGUAGAUAUACGGAGGAACACCAGUGGCGAAGGCGGAUUGCUGGACAGUAACUGACGCUGAGGCGCGAAAGCGUGGGGAGCAAACAGGAUUAGAUACCCCAGUA
This 463-nucleotide ribosomal RNA is filed under the name uncultured bacterium. RNAcentral's name for it is "bacterial SSU rRNA". It matches the Rfam family "Bacterial small subunit ribosomal RNA", at positions 331 to 792 of the family's 1533-position model. The record is from RNAcentral.